UGCGGGUGAGGAUGCUGGAAUGAGUGGUGUAGCGGUGAAAUGCAUAGAUAUCACUCAGAACACCGAUUGCGAAGGCAGGCAUCUGGUCCGCUAUUGACGCUGAGGCACGAAAGUGUGGGAGCAAACAGGAUUAGAUACCCUGGUAGUCCACACCGUAAACGUUGGUUACUAGAUGUUCGGCUGCAAGGCUGAGUGUCCAAGCGCAAGCGAUAAGUAACCCACCUGGGGAGUACGUUCGCAAGAAUGAAACUCAAAGGAAUUGACGGGGGCCCGCACAAGCGGUGGAGCAUGUGGUUUAAUUCGAUGGUACGCGAGGAACCUUACCUGGGCUAGAAUGCCUUUGACCGCCGGUGAAAGCUGGUUUUCCUUCGGGACAAAGUGCAAGGUGCUGCAUGGUUGUCGUCAGCUCGUGCCGUGAGGUGUUGGGUUAAGUCCCGCAACGAGCGCAACCCCUAUCGUUAGUUGCCAUCAUUUAGUUGGGGACUCUAGCGAGACUGCCUGCGCAAGCAGUGAGGAAGGUGGGGACGACGUCAAAUCAUCAUGGCCCUUACGCCCAGGGCUACACACGUGCUACAAUGGCCGGUACAGAGGGUUGCAAGCUAGCGAUAGCAAGCCAAUCUCAAAAAGCCGGUCUCAGUUCGGAUUGGAGGCUGCAACUCGCCUCCAUGAAGUUGGAAUCGCUAGUAAUCGUAGAUCAGCAUGCUACGGUGAAUACGUUCCCGGGCCUUGUACACACCGCCCGUCAAGCCAUGAAAGCUGGGGGCGCCUGAAGUCGGGGAUAACCCGCCUAGGGUGAAACUGGUAAUUAGGGCUAAGUCGUAACAAGGUAACC
RNAcentral lists this ribosomal RNA (832 nucleotides) under uncultured bacterium. RNAcentral describes it as "bacterial SSU rRNA". It matches the Rfam family "Bacterial small subunit ribosomal RNA", at positions 647 to 1501 of the family's 1533-position model. The record is from RNAcentral.